AGGGGGAGGGGGAGCGGGUCGGAGCACAUAGUGGCCAGCAUUAUCCUGCCGCGUGUGUUUCAGAGACGCUGUACUGCUCCCUGAAGAGAACUCCGGACUAUGUUUUUGGAAAAACAAGGUGUUAGAAGGGGAUAAGGGGGGUUUUGAACUGCUACAAGAAGAGCCUCUGCUAAGAGGAUGCCUUGAAGUUCAGCCUUCCUCAGUGAAGGCUUUCAAGAGAUAGCUCUUGGCCUCUGAGUCAGCUAUGGAAGAUGCUUCAGGACUACUGAGCAGCAGAACAGAAAAUCCUCCUGCUGGUAUCAAGAACAAGUGAACAAAAAACUGCCUAUUUUUCCUAUCAUAAUUUGAUCUGUAAAAAGCAGGGUUCUGAGAUCUUGACAGAUUUUCAUUGCUAGAAUAUUAUUUUGCUCAAAUAAGCAGUAAGAAAUACUCAUAGAAAGAAAUACUCAUAGCAGAAAUGUUUUUUGUCUUCUCUGUUUAGGAAAUAGGGGGGGGAAAAGGCAUUAUGGCUUGCAUAGUAAAACACUGAAACCACUUGGAACUAUAA
Taeniopygia guttata (zebra finch) is the source of this 547-nucleotide non-coding RNA. The record is from RefSeq and is a predicted model, not a curated record. Lineage: Eukaryota; Metazoa; Chordata; Aves; Passeriformes; Estrildidae.